RNAcentral lists this ribosomal RNA (870 nucleotides) under uncultured bacterium. RNAcentral's name for it is "bacterial SSU rRNA". It matches the Rfam family "Bacterial small subunit ribosomal RNA", at positions 620 to 1502 of the family's 1533-position model. The record is from RNAcentral.
AUUGCAGUUGAUACUGUCAGUCUUGAGUACAGUAGAGGUGGGCGGAAUUCGUGGUGUAGCGGUGAAAUGCUUAGAUAUCACGAAGAACUCCGAUUGCGAAGGCAGCUCACUGGACUGCAACUGACACUGAUGCUCGAAAGUGUGGGUAUCAAACAGGAUUAGAUACCCUGGUAGUCCACACAGUAAACGAUGAAUACUCGCUGUUUGCGAUAUACAGUAAGCGGCCAAGCGAAAGCAUUAAGUAUUCCACCUGGGGAGUACGCCGGCAACGGUGAAACUCAAAGGAAUUGACGGGGGCCCGCACAAGCGGAGGAACAUGUGGUUUAAUUCGAUGAUACGCGAGGAACCUUACCCGGGCUUAAAUUGCAGUGGAAUGAUGUGGAAACAUGUCAGUGAGCAAUCACCGCUGUGAAGGUGCUGCAUGGUUGUCGUCAGCUCGUGCCGUGAGGUGUCGGCUUAAGUGCCAUAACGAGCGCAACCCUUAUCUUCAGUUACUAACAGGUCAUGCUGAGGACUCUGGAGAGACUGCCGUCGUAAGAUGUGAGGAAGGUGGGGAUGACGUCAAAUCAGCACGGCCCUUACGUCCGGGGCUACACACGUGUUACAAUGGGGGGUACAGAAGGCAGCUAGCGGGUGACCGUAUGCUAAUCCCAAAAUCCUCUCUCAGUUCGGAUCGAAGUCUGCAACCCGACUUCGUGAAGCUGGAUUCGCUAGUAAUCGCGCAUCAGCCACGGCGCGGUGAAUACGUUCCCGGGCCUUGUACACACCGCCCGUCAAGCCAUGGGAGCCGGNNNNNNNUGAAGUACGUAACCGCAAGGAUCGUCCUAGGGUAAAACUGGUGACUGGGGAUGAGUCGUAACAAGGUAACCA